This 506-nucleotide ribosomal RNA is filed under the name uncultured bacterium. Its description in RNAcentral is "partial 16S ribosomal RNA". It matches the Rfam family "Bacterial small subunit ribosomal RNA", at positions 29 to 523 of the family's 1533-position model. The record is from RNAcentral.
AGUGAACGCUGGCGGUAGGCCUAACACAUGCAAGUCGAACGGCAGCACAGAGGAGCUUGCUCCUUGGGUGGCGAGUGGCGGACGGGUGAGGAAUACAUCGGAAUCUACUCUGUCGUGGGGGAUAACGUAGGGAAACUUACGCUAAUACCGCAUACGACCUACGGGUGAAAGCAGGGGAUCUUCGGACCUUGCGCGAUUGAAUGAGCCGAUGUCGGAUUAGCUAGGUGGCGGGGUAAAGGCCCACCAAGGCGACGAUCCGUAGCUGGUCUGAGAGGAUGAUCAGCCACACUGGAACUGAGACACGGUCCAGACACCUACGGGAGGAAGCAGUGGGGAAUAUUGGACAAUGGGCGCAAGCCUGAUCCAGCCAUACCGCGUGGGUGAAGAAGGCCUUCGGGUUGUAAAGCCCUUUUGUUGGGAAAGAAAUCCAUCUGGUUAAUACCCGGGUGGGAUGACGGUACCCAAAGAAUAAGCACCGGCUAACUUCGUGCCAGCCGCCGCCGUAA